RNAcentral lists this long non-coding RNA (202 nucleotides) under Mytilus galloprovincialis (Mediterranean mussel). Lineage: Eukaryota; Metazoa; Mollusca; Bivalvia; Mytilida; Mytilidae. The record is from RNAcentral.
CGCCCGCACUUAUUUUUUUCAAAACAGGAUUUUUUUUUAUAUUCCCCCUUCCCGCAUCUGGAAAUGUAAUCAUGUCCAUUUCCCGCAUCAUUUUUUGUAAAUAUUAUAAAAAGAUAUUAACACUUGUUUUCAAAUCACUGUCUUACCUGUAUUUAUUGUUUAAAACCUAUAUAAAGCACCCGACCACACUGUAUAAAUAUCU